AGUGAACGCUGGCGGCGUGCCUAAUACAUGCAAGUCGAACGGAGAUUAAGUAGCUUGCUAUUUAAUCUUAGUGGCGCACGGGUGAGUAAUAUAUAGCUAACUUGCCCAUUACUAAGGGACAACAGUUGGAAACGACUGCUAAUAUCUUAUACUCCGUAUCUAUAUAAGUAGAUACGGGAAAGUUUUUCGGUAAUGGAUAGGGCUAUAUCGUAUCAGCUAGUUGGUAAGGUAAUGGCUUACCAAGGCUAUGACGCGUAACUGGUCUGAGAGGAUGAUCAGUCACACUGGAACUGAGACACGGUCCAGACUCCUACGGGAGGCAGCAGUAGGGAAUAUUGCUCAAUGGGGGAAACCCUGAAGCAGCAACGCCGCGUGGAGGAUGACACUUUUCGGAGCGUAAACUCCUUUUCUUGGGAAAGAAUUAUGACGGUACCCAAGGAAUAAGCACCGGCUAACUCCGUG
This 462-nucleotide ribosomal RNA is filed under the name uncultured bacterium. Its description in RNAcentral is "partial 16S ribosomal RNA". It matches the Rfam family "Bacterial small subunit ribosomal RNA", at positions 29 to 507 of the family's 1533-position model. The record is from RNAcentral.